Molecule: unclassified non-coding RNA, 269 nt
Filed under: plant metagenome
Description: partial contains small subunit ribosomal RNA, internal transcribed spacer 1, and 5.8S ribosomal RNA
Source: RNAcentral
UUUCCGUAGGUGAACCUGCGGAAGGAUCAUUAAUGAGUUGUCAUGGGGUUCGAUGCUGGCAGCCAAUUUUUGGAUGCAUGUGCUUGCCCUAACAAUCAUCUUCCAAACACCUGUGCACAUUCUUGAGGGAGUCUUGAGUUGGUUGCCGCUCUUGGGUGAUUUUCUCACAUUCCCUUAAAUCAUUAUACGCUAUUAACAAUGUUGAACGUGCUCUGUGCCGCAAGGCUAUUAAUAUAAUACAACUUUUAACAACGGAUCUCUUGGCUCUC